UCCUAAAUAUGUUCCUUAUGAUGUAAAUAAACAAUAUGGUCUUCUCUUUGAUAUAAUUACAAAAAGGUACAAAGAGAACAAUGAAGCACGCAGUCUAGUACUAAAAAAGCAACUUCGUCGAUAUGCUCCUGUUUCUCUCACUGCAGAGGAAAACAACAGCAAACCAGCAUGCAGACCAGCAUCCAAGCUAAACCAGAUAAGCAGCAGCAUUUUAUUUAUUUUGUUUAUUUGUAACUUGAUUUAGUUGCAAUGUAAUUUAUACUUAAAGUUAGUAGGAGUAGUUGUUGAUUUAUGUUUGAUGUUAUAGCUGGUAUGUCAGCUACAUUUUGUUUGUAAUUUUAUCUAGGCUUUAGUCAUGUAUUAGUGGGAGCAGUUAUACAUUAGUUAACUGCCAUAUUUCAUUGUAACA
This is a long non-coding RNA of Gossypium raimondii (Peruvian cotton), 409 nucleotides long. RefSeq lists it as uncharacterized. Lineage: Eukaryota; Viridiplantae; Streptophyta; Magnoliopsida; Malvales; Malvaceae. The record is from RefSeq and is a predicted model, not a curated record. The transcript is spliced from 3 exons.